Molecule: ribosomal RNA, 827 nt
Filed under: Salmonella enterica subsp. enterica
Lineage: Bacteria; Pseudomonadati; Pseudomonadota; Gammaproteobacteria; Enterobacterales; Enterobacteriaceae
Description: partial 23S ribosomal RNA
Rfam family: Bacterial large subunit ribosomal RNA
Source: RNAcentral
ACAGGGUGACAGCCCCGUACACAAAAGCGCAUGUGUUGUGAGCUCGAUGAGUAGGGCGGGACACGUGGUAUCCUGUCUGAAUAUGGGGGGACCAUCCUCCAAGGCUAAAUACUCCUGACUGACCGAUAGUGAACCAGUACCGUGAGGGAAAGGCGAAAAGAACCCCGGCGAGGGGAGUGAAAAAGAACCUGAAACCGUGUACGUACAAGCAGUGGGAGCACCCUUCGGGGUGUGACUGCGUACCUUUUGUAUAAUGGGUCAGCGACUUAUAUUCUGUAGCAAGGUUAACCGAAUAGGGGAGCCGGAGGGAAACCGAGUCUUAAUUGGGCGUUAAGUUGCAGGGUAUAGACCCGAAACCCGGUGAUCUAGCCAUGGGCAGGUUGAAGGUUGGGUAACACUAACUGGAGGACCGAACCGACUAAUGUUGAAAAAUUAGCGGAUGACCUGUGGCUGGGGGUGAAAGGCCAAUCAAACCGGGAGAUAGCUGGUUCUCCCCGAAAGCUAUUUAGGUAGCGCCUCGUGAAUUCAUCUCCGGGGGUAGAGCACUGUUUCGGCUAGGGGGCCAUCCCGGCUUACCAACCCGAUGCAAACUGCGAAUACCGGAGAAUGUUAUCACGGGAGACACACGGCGGGUGCUAACGUCCGUCGUGAAGAGGGAAACAACCCAGACCGCCAGCUAAGGUCCCAAAGUCAUGGUUAAGUGGGAAACGAUGUGGGAAGGCCCAGACAGCCAGGAUGUUGGCUUAGAAGCAGCCAUCAUUUAAAGAAAGCGUAAUAGCUCACUGGUCGAGUCGGCCUGCGCGGAAGAUGUAACGGGGCUAAACCAU